Molecule: ribosomal RNA, 99 nt
Filed under: Mandrillus leucophaeus (drill)
Lineage: Eukaryota; Metazoa; Chordata; Mammalia; Primates; Cercopithecidae
Source: RNAcentral
GUCUAUGGCCAUACCACCCUGAUCCGGGAAGCUAAGUAGGGUCAGGCCUGGCCAUUACUUGGAUGGGAGACCACUUGAGAUUACAAGAUGCGGUAGUUU